UACGUAGGGGGCAAGCGUUGUCCGGAUUUAUUGGGCGUAAAGAGCGUGUAGGCGGCCAUACAGGUCAGCUGUGAAAACUCGAGGCUCAACCUCGAGACGUCGGUUGAAACCGUAUGGCUAGAGUCCGGGAAGAGGAGAGUGGAAUUCCCGGUGUAGCGGUGAAAUGCGCAGAUAUCGGGAAGAACACCCGUGGCGAAGGCGGCUCUCUGGGGACGGUACUGACGCUGAGACGCGAAAGCGUGGGGAGCGAACAGG
RNAcentral lists this ribosomal RNA (255 nucleotides) under uncultured bacterium. Its description in RNAcentral is "partial 16S ribosomal RNA". It matches the Rfam family "Bacterial small subunit ribosomal RNA", at positions 524 to 776 of the family's 1533-position model. The record is from RNAcentral.